UGGCUCCUUUCUGUUACCAGGUUGAAAACAAGAAGGCUGAGGUGAUAUCCUUCACGUCCAUGCGCCUUUUGAAUGAGUUGCUUGUUUUGUUGUAUGGCUUGUCCAAGGAAGAUGUUGCUGCUUACCUAAGGCGGACGUCGCAAGGGUCAAACAGCAGCAGUUAUUGUAACCGAGGUGAAAGAAUUUGUUUUUAUGUACAAAACAAGGCCUGGAAAGCUUAUCAUUGGAUUUAACUAUGGACGAGGAUUCUGAUUUUGAAAGGGUAGAGGAAGCAAUCACCACAAGAGAUAUGCAAGAAGAUUUAAAGUGCACUCUUCAAACUUUGCACAUACAGAUGGAGUAUUGUGAGAAGAGUACUCUAAGGAAUGCUGUUGGGAGAAGGUGGCGGAUUCUCCGUGAUAUUGUAGAAUUUACAACUAAUGAUGCACCAAGAAAUUGACUAAUCAAAACACAACACGUUAACUCAAUUUUUGCCAUACUUUAAGAUUAACACAUGAUUUUACUAAACAGUUGUAUGCAUUACGUACUAAUGAGAUUUGUCAUUUGAAUCAGUUCUUCAGCUUGUGCCCAAAGAUUAAUUGGCAAAAUUUGAAACAUUUGAGAAGUAUCAUUCAAAUAUCUCCUAUAAACCAAGCUUGGUUAGGUCUUUGAAGUUUCUUUUUACAGAGAAUUUUAUCUUUGAUCGAAGUGUAAAAUAGGAAUGGUACUGUGACUUCAUGAAAAAUGUGAAAUCUAAAUUUAUUUUUUCCGUAAAGUUUUCGUUUUAGUAACUAAUAUUUGUUGUUCCAUGCAUGAGUUUCGACCCUUAAUUCUGUUCAACGACAAAUGAUCACCAAACGUGAUCGAGAUACAUUGAACAAACAAUAGUGGUUUAUAUAAUUAUAUUCACAACGAUGGUGGACACGUAUAACUUGAUCAUUCUUCACAAUGAAGACGUGUUUUGCUUAUGUUAAUCGUUCCGCUAAGGCUGUGUUGCCUAUAAUAAAGAAAAAUUUGUGCUAUGCA
This is a long non-coding RNA of Xenia sp. Carnegie-2017, 1005 nucleotides long. RefSeq lists it as uncharacterized. Lineage: Eukaryota; Metazoa; Cnidaria; Anthozoa; Malacalcyonacea; Xeniidae. The transcript has 2 exons. The record is from RefSeq and is a predicted model, not a curated record.